AGUGAACGCUGGCGGUAGGCCUAACACAUGCAAGUCGAACGGCAGCACAGUAAGAGCUUGCUCUUACGGGUGGCGAGUGGCGGACGGGUGAGGAAUACAUCGGAAUCUACUUUUUCGUGGGGGAUAACGUAGGGAAACUUACGCUAAUACCGCAUACGACCUACGGGUGAAAGCAGGGGAUCUUCGGACCUUGCGCGAUUGAAUGAGCCGAUGUCGGAUUAGCUAGUUGGCGGGGUAAAGGCCCACCAAGGCGACGAUCCGUAGCUGGUCUGAGAGGAUGAUCAGCCACACUGGAACUGAGACACGGUCCAGACUCCUACGGGAGGCAGCAGUGGGGAAUAUUGGACAGUGGGCGCAAGCCUGAUCCAGCCAUACCGCGUGGGUGAAGAAGGCCUUCGGGUUGUAAAGCCCUUUUGUUGGGAAAGAAAAGCAGCAGGUUAAUACCCCGCUGUCCUGACGGUACCCAAAGAAUAAGCACCGGCUAACUGCGU
This 491-nucleotide ribosomal RNA is filed under the name uncultured bacterium. Its description in RNAcentral is "partial 16S ribosomal RNA". It matches the Rfam family "Bacterial small subunit ribosomal RNA", at positions 29 to 506 of the family's 1533-position model. The record is from RNAcentral.